This 402-nucleotide ribosomal RNA is filed under the name bacterium enrichment culture clone ALO1_GLFRUDD03F8GVG. RNAcentral's name for it is "bacterial SSU rRNA". It matches the Rfam family "Bacterial small subunit ribosomal RNA", at positions 9 to 410 of the family's 1533-position model. The record is from RNAcentral.
GAGUUUGAUCGUGGCUCAGAUUGAACGCUGGCGGCAUGCCUUACACAUGCAAGUCGAACGGCAGCACGGGAGCUUGCUCCUGGUGGCGAGUGGCGAACGGGUGAGUAAUGCAUCGGAACGUAUCCUGGAGCGGGGGGAUAACGUAGCGAAAGUUACGCUAAUACCGCAUAUUCUGUGAGCAGGAAAGCGGGGGACCUUCGGGCCUCGCGCUCUUGGAGCGGCCGAUGUCGGAUUAGCUAGUUGGUGAGGUAAAGGCUCACCAAGGCGACGAUCCGUAGCAGGUCUGAGAGGAUGAUCUGCCACACUGGAACUGAGACACGGUCCAGACUCCUACGGGAGGCAGCAGUGGGGAAUUUUGGACAAUGGGGGCAACCCUGAUCCAGCCAUGCCGCGUGAGUGAAG